RNAcentral lists this ribosomal RNA (252 nucleotides) under uncultured bacterium. Its description in RNAcentral is "partial 16S ribosomal RNA". It matches the Rfam family "Bacterial small subunit ribosomal RNA", at positions 524 to 776 of the family's 1533-position model. The record is from RNAcentral.
UACGUAGGUCCCGAGCGUUGUCCGGAUUUAUUGGGCGUAAAGCGAGCGCAGGUGGUUUAUUAAGUCUGGUGUAAAAGGCAGUGGCUCAACCAUUGUAUGCAUUGGAAACUGGUAGACUUGAGUGCAGGAGAGGAGAGUGGAAUUGCAUGUGUAGCGGUGAAAUGCGUAGAUAUAUGGAGGAACACCGGUGGCGAAAGCGGCUCUCUGGCCUGUAACUGACACUGAGGCUCGGAAGCGUGGGGAGCAAACAGG